Long non-coding RNA from Xiphophorus hellerii (green swordtail), 1731 nucleotides. RefSeq lists it as uncharacterized. NCBI's taxonomy places the organism in Eukaryota, Metazoa, Chordata, Actinopteri, Cyprinodontiformes, Poeciliidae. The transcript has 3 exons. The record is from RefSeq and is a predicted model, not a curated record.
UGCUUCCUCAUCAGUCCAUCCAGAGGGAAUGGAGGAGCAGAAACAGCAGAACCAGCCGGACUCUGGGCUUGGUGGAACUGGCGAGGCGCUGGCAUGUGGAGGCUGAGGCAGUCCCCAGGGGGCGGGGCCACAAGGUAACGAAGCAGUGCCCCACGUCUUCUGGGAGCUGUUCGUAGUUCUCCAGUUCCUUCAGGAAGAUACUGAGGAACACAGAGAUGUCCUGGAUGUUUCCGAACACGACGUCGUCCUUGUUGGUGAGUCCAGGUGGGAUUUCCUCCGAGCCGCUGGUCAUCUCCCACAGGUACGUCUGCAACGGCAAACCGAGUCACUUCAGCUUCUCCUGCCACUUCUUACGGGGAAAUCAACACUUCCUGCACGACUUUCGGUUCAAACAUUUACAGAAUAUCUGGUUCAUUUGGUCAGAGGAUGUUUUCUGGAACAAUCUUUGUUCAGUCAGCUGAGUAACUCCUGACUGUGGACAUUUAAAGGGACAUAGUGGCAUUUUGUUGCAAAACCAAGUAACUAUGUUACUUUCAGUUGUUAUAAAAUUGCUAUAAAUAUCAAUCAUUUUGCUUCCUGAUUUAACUCCUUGAAAUUCCACCAGCUCCACCAGCUGUUUGCUAAUUGCUGCUGGCUAGUCUGCAGGAGCCGAGAAGGGGAGGAGCUGCACCUCAAAGGCGGGGCUAGGUCCAAUCAGGCGUUUCGCAGCUGAAUGGUUGCCAUGGAGAUUAAAGGACUUCUCAAACAUGCAUGAAAGAUUCAAGGCAACACUUCAGGAACGUUUUAGUAACCAGAAUUGUGAUGUAAUCACAGUAAAAACAUUAAAUCAUUAAGUUCAGAUGUUUAAUUACUGAGCUAAUCCUCCAGGUUUUACCUCGAUGCAUUCCUGCAGGUCUCUGACGUAAACUCUCUCAGUCUGGAGGAGCUCGGCCAUGAUGUACCUGCACACACACACACACACACACACACACACACACAGCAUUAUUAGAUCAGAGCGUCGCUCCCAGCACGCCGCUCACACACCGUACUCACUCCUUCUUGCGGGCGGAACGCCUCUUCUCGUCGCUGACCUGGUGACUCGGGUCAGACAGGUUGACCUCAGGGUCCGAGUCCGACAGGCUGUUGGGGAUGAGCUCCAGCUCCAGGUCCUUGUUGUCCUAAACGAGCGUCGCUGUUAGCCUUCAGAUAACUGUUAGCAUCUGCAGCAGUGGAGGCUUUUAGUCACCUGAGAGCUGCUGCCCAGUGCGGCCUCCAGCAGGUGGCGGUACUGACCCAUCCGGACCGAGAAGUCGCGGUAACGCUUGUCCACCGCCGAAACGCAGCGGCGCAGCUCGGCGCGGUGGGCGUGGCCUUUAGCCAGCAUGCUCUCAGCCAGCUGGAUCAGCAGGUGAACCUUCUCCUGUGUGUGCUGGGAGAAAUUUACUUAGUCAUCGUUUGUUUUGACAGUUUCAUCUUAUCAAAUUAAAACAUCUAAAAAGGACAGAAAUAAUUAUUGUUUACUGUUGGCUUUGAGCUUCACAUUGUCUAGAUGCAAAGGUGCUUCACGUUGCCUGAUGCUAGGAUAACAGCUAAUGCUAAAUUAGCUGUGGAGUAUUUACGUCUGAUUUUUAAAUGAGUUUUAUAUGGCAGCAUAUCAGGGUCAAUAGAAAACAAAAUACAUUUUCUGCCAUAUUCUGAGAUCAAUUUUUAAAAAUUUCUCAAAUAAACAAGGAACUUUGAAAAGACAAAAAU